This 465-nucleotide ribosomal RNA is filed under the name uncultured bacterium. RNAcentral describes it as "partial 16S ribosomal RNA". It matches the Rfam family "Bacterial small subunit ribosomal RNA", at positions 338 to 795 of the family's 1533-position model. The record is from RNAcentral.
CCUACGGGAGGCAGCAGUGGGGAAUAUUGCGCAAUGGGCGAAAGCCUGACGCAGCGACGCCGCGUGAGGGAUGAAGGUCUUCGGAUCGUAAACCUCUGUCAGCAGGGAAGAACGGUCACUGUGCUAAUCAGCAGUGACUUGACGGUACCUGCAACGGAAGCACCGGCUAACUCCGUGCCAGCAGCCGCGGUAAUACGGAGGGUGCGGGCGUUAAGCGGAAUUACUGGGCGUAAAGCGCUCGUAGGCGGUAUGUCAAGUCAAGGGUGAAAUCCCCGCGCUCAACGUGGGAACUGCCUGUGAAACUGGCAAACUGGAGUGUGUGAGAGGAUAGUGGAAUUCCAGGUGUAGGAGUGAAAUCCGUAGAGAUCUGGAGGAACAUCAGUGGCGAAGGCGACUAUCUGGCACAUAACUGACGCUGAGGAGCGAAAGCGUGGGUAGCAAACAGGAUUAGAUACCCUUGUAGUC